GAAACCAGAUGUGCCGGCAGCUUAGGGGAAGUGGCAGAGUGGGGUGGGGGGUUCGGGAUUGGGGUUUGCUCCAUUUUAACCACCAGGAUGCCCCUUCCUUGCCAUCCUGAUUCCUACAGAGCCUCUCUUUCCCCUCUUUCUCUGCAGCCCCUGCCCCUCAGCUAUGCUUUGGGUCCUUGGAGGAGAGAGGGUGUCCCCUCUCUGACUCUUUCUGCUGCUGUCUCAUUGCUCAAGCUCUGAGCUGUUUUUCUCCUCUUGUUCCUCUGCUCCUACCCAUUUUCCCUUCUGUUUUUUCCUGCUUCAUUCCCUUUCCCCGCUGACAUGGCUGACUCCCGUUCCCAACACCCCUUGCAGGGGGCUGGCCAGGUGGGCAGGUGCCAGCUGGAGCUGUAAAUAGAGCGCUGCGCUUUUGUGCCGGUUUGUGUGUGUGUUGUAUUUCUGUGUUUUGAUAGUCAUACAAAAAAAAAAAAAAGGAUAAAAGAAACCCCCCUCUUCAGAUGAUUGUCCUCUUCAUUCCCCUGGACCCAGGACAUGUAAUCCUACACACCCACCCACUGUGCAGUGUCUCUGGGUCCCUAAAGGACACCAUUUCUGUCCCUUCUCCAAGUGGUAAGAUGACAUAGGUGCCCCACACCUAAACUGAGGUCAGACCACCAAGGCUUCCACCUGGUGAGCCCCAGCAGGGCUGAGGCCCCCCAGGACAGCAGUCUAUCUGCUGCUGAGUGAUUCGUGGAGAAUGUGUGUGUACACUAUGCCAGUCACACAGGGCUGUGGCUUCCCGCUGUGGAGGUCUGGGUGCCCUUGCUGCUACAUCUUAGCCAGAACUUGAAGCCCUUUGUCUCCAGUCUGAGAUGAAGGAAAAGAGGAAGGGGCAGUGUCUGAGUGGCCCCUUAAGUGGAGCCAGGAAAGGCCUAAUCCUGCUGGAGUCUGGCUGCCCUAGCCCUGGGCCAGGUAAUGCCCAGGAGCUCCAAUUCUUCCAGAGGUGGCCACCUACUUCUUAUCAAAGAAGGAAGGAACAGGGUUUGGCUGAGUUAGUCUGCCUUGCCUCCAGCCUCCAGCCCGCAGGUUGGAGUGGAAGGAGCCCUGGAGGGGCUGGGAAUAUCCUGCCACCUCCUCUCUGCUUGCCCACUCACAGGCAAGGUCCCUCUGCCCAGGGCUCAGGGCUGUGUGUGCCAGAUCUGUCUAUAUUCACCCACUGCCUCCCCCCUCAGUCCCCUCCUUCCUUCCCAGGAGAGCUCCUCACCCACCAAUGGUCAGAGCUGAAGCCAUACGGGACUUUUGACCCAUUGGACCCAGGAGUUAGAAACCUCUUUUUCUCACUUCCUUCCCUGCCCCAUGAGGUGGUGGGGCAGUUCCCUGGCCAAGCCCUUUUGUGCCCCACACCUGCAGGGCCAAGGGCCAUUCUAGACAGGGUGUCUUCUACCAGAGCCCUACCCCCAGCCUUCCUGACCUGCAGGGCCUGGUCUCACCUUGGCAGCUGUAAUACAAAGGGAAUUUGUGCCCACUUCUCCCAGUCUGGUGCUGUCCUCUUGGUCCACCAUCAGCCAGGUCAAGCGCCACUUCCUCCACUCGGGCUGGCUGUGGGCUCCUGACUCUCCCAGCACCUCCCAGAGCCGUGGCCAGCUCUGUGUCGGGGGGCUAGCCUUCCAUCCUGCCAGGCAUGCUGCCUACCUGCCCUGCCUCUGCCCCUGCCCGGGGCCCUGUGCCCCCGAACCCCACCCUGUCCCAAGACUGCCCAAUCUGUCUUACUAAGUGUUUCCUGCCCCAGGAGAGGGCUUAGACCACAAGGGGCCUACACCCUCUUGGUCCCCUCUGCUCCACCUCCACCACCAGCUUCCCCAGGUGAGCUCUACCGGCCAGCCUUUCUCCUCCAUCCAUGGCCAUACCCCCAGCCAUUUUGUACCAUUAUAUAAAUAUAUAUAUAAAUAUAAAUAUAUAAAUACAAUAUGUGAAGACAUCUUCUUGGUUUUUAUUUUGAAACAAUUUUUAGGCUUGUUCCGGGGGUCUCUGUGCUGCCUGUACUGUAUUGACCUGUUUUAUAGGUGCCUUUUUAUUAAAAAGAAAACUCAAAAUCCAA
RNAcentral lists this long non-coding RNA (2077 nucleotides) under Heterocephalus glaber (naked mole-rat). RNAcentral's name for it is "lncRNA (ENSHGLG00100048594.1)". The record is from RNAcentral. Lineage: Eukaryota; Metazoa; Chordata; Mammalia; Rodentia; Bathyergidae.